CGAAGGGGGCGAGCGUUGUUCGGAUUUACUGGGCGUAAAGGGCGCGCAGGCGGCAGACCAAGUCAGGCGUGAAAGCCCCGGGCUCAACCUGGGAACUGCGUCUGGGACUGGUUUGCUAGAGAUCGGGAGAGGAGAGUGGAAUUCCCAGUGUAGAGGUGAAAUUCGUAGAUAUUGGGAAGAACACCGGUGGCGAAGGCGGCUCUCUGGACCGAUACUGACGCUGAGGCGCGAAAGCGUGGGGAGCAAACAGGAUUAGAUACCCUGGUAGUCCACGCUGUAAACGAUGUGUGCUAGACGUUGGGGAGCCUAGCUCUUCGGUGUCGCAGCUAACGCGGUAAGCACACCGCCUGGGGGAGUACGGCCGCAAGGUUA
Molecule: ribosomal RNA, 372 nt
Filed under: uncultured organism
Description: bacterial SSU rRNA
Rfam family: Bacterial small subunit ribosomal RNA
Source: RNAcentral